GACGAACGCUGGCGGCGCGCUUAACACAUGCAAGUCGAACGGAAAGGCCUGCUUUCCCUUGUGGAUUGCGGGUACUCGAGUGGCGAACGGGUGAGUAACACGUGAGUGAUCUGCCCCCAACUUGGGUAUAAGCCUGGGAAACUGGGUCUAAUUACCGAUAGGACUGCAGGGUGGUGCCUGUGGUGGAAAACGAUUUUCUAGUGGUUGGGGAUGCGCCCGCGGCCUAUCAGCUUGUUGGUGGGGUAAUGGCCUACCAAGGCGGCGACGGGGAGCCGGCCGGGGAGUGUGGACGGCCACAUUGGGACUGAGAUACGGCCCAGACUGCGACGCGGGGCAGCAGUGGCUAAUGUUGCACGAGGGGGGGUAGCCUGACGCAGCGACGCGGCGUGUGGGAUGACGGCCUUCGUGAUGUAAACUCCUUUCGACCGCGAGGAAGCCACCUGGUUUGAAGGGUGGUGACGGUAGUGGUAGAAGAAGCACCGGCUAACUACGUG
This 494-nucleotide ribosomal RNA is filed under the name uncultured bacterium. RNAcentral describes it as "partial 16S ribosomal RNA". It matches the Rfam family "Bacterial small subunit ribosomal RNA", at positions 28 to 507 of the family's 1533-position model. The record is from RNAcentral.